CCUACGGGAGGCAGCAGUGAGGAAUAUUGGUCAAUGGGCGAGAGCCUGAACCAGCCAAGUCGUGUGAAGGAUGACGGUCCUACGGGUUGUAAACUUCUUUUGUCAGGGAGCAAUUGCUUCCACGCGUGGGCUUAGCGAGAGUCCCUGAAGAAAAAGCAUCGGCUACCUCCGUGCCAGCAGCCGCGUUAUUCCGGAGGAUGCGAGAGUUAUCCGGAUUUUUUGGGUUUAAAGGUGGCGUAGAGGGGUUGUUAAGUCGGUUGUGAAAGUUUGCGGCUCAACCGUAAACUUGCAAUUGAUACUGGCAGUCUUGAGUACAGUUGAGGUAGGCGGAAUUCGUGGUGUAGCGGUGAAAUGCUUAGAUAUCGCGAAGAACUCCGAUUGCGAAGGCAGCUUACUAAACUGCCACUGACAUUGAGGCUCGAAAGUGUGGGUAUCAAACAGGAUUAGAUACCCUUGUAGUC
Molecule: ribosomal RNA, 461 nt
Filed under: uncultured bacterium
Lineage: Bacteria
Description: partial 16S ribosomal RNA
Rfam family: Bacterial small subunit ribosomal RNA
Source: RNAcentral